GCGGAGGUGCCGGAGUGGCCAAAUGAAAAUCGUAGAUUUUCAAAAGUCAGAAAUCUUCGAUUUCAGACCAAACGGGACAGGCUUAGGACCUGUUAGCUUAGUGCUUACUGGGGUUCGAAUCCUCACCUCCGCA
RNAcentral lists this transfer RNA (133 nucleotides) under Candidatus Woesearchaeota archaeon. RNAcentral describes it as "tRNA-Leu". The record is from RNAcentral. Lineage: Archaea; Nanobdellati; Candidatus Woesearchaeota.